CAUCCACCUGAAGAUUGUUCAUGGAAUUGUCGAGGGAACUUUGGUGGCUAAGCUUGAUGUUAUAAAAACAAUGAGUUCUAAUUGAGUGAAAAUGAUUGAGUUUGGGUUUGAAGUGGGAGAGCUAUGGAUUUUUAAAUUGUCACAGUGGAUGCUAUUGUGUGCCUCAUCUAUAAUAAUCCAGCAUGGGUUUCUUGUUAAGCCAUUACUUUUUUACACCAUCAAAUCCAGUCAAACAUUUGUGCAAAAUAUAUUUAAACCCAAGUCUAGUACUAGUGGAAUAAUGUUGCUACAAGCUUACUCAUUUUCAUCUUGUUUGUUACAGAAAUCUGAGUCCUUAAUAGGGGAUGUUCAAUACUGCUGGGAUUCUGAUAUAAAAAAUAUUCUAGCUACCUGUAUAAUGUGUUCCACCAUUCAUGCUCUGUUUGGAAGCACUCUUGUCUCACUUAAUAGCACUAGCAUGUUUAAGGGCAUUUAUUUUUGUGGUGGGUUCAUAUUGGAAUAUUGGAAUAAAGAAUAAAGAAUAAAAGAGAAAUAAAUUGGAAAUAUGUUAAGGAAAUUUGUUUUGACCGGUACCUCUUUUAUUUGUUUGAACUCAAGAUAUUUAAAUCAGCUAUUGGUUUAUUUGGGUGUCAAAGUAGAUCAGUGAGUGAUGGUGUCCUAAUAAAACAGCUUUAAGGUUUUCAUUUUUUCUUUGAAUUAGCCUUUCACUUCAUCAAUUAAUUAAUUAAUUAGACAUGAUUUGUGAAAUGUUUGUUUGUGAAGUAUUUCUGUAUAGCCCGGACUUAAUACUUUCAGCCCUUGCUUCAGUUGCCUUUGCUGCUGCAAUUUUUGACCUCCCUUUGUGAACCUCAGAUUUCAGCAGUGCUAUUUCAACUUGAGCUUCAUUCUCCCUUCCUCUAAUCUCAUCCACCUCUAUUUUUGUCCUCUCUAAUUCCCCUGUAAGCAUCUCAACAUCACAGUUUAAACGCCCUACCUCCUCAUUUGCAUUCUUAAGCUUUAUUUUAAACUGAUUAAGCUCCAUUUCCAGUGAGUUAAUGGAUACUGCUUGUUCUGAGUUCUCUCUUUCCUGCCUUUCAAAAUCUAAUUAUAGCUUGUUUAAAUUGUUGAUGGCAUCAGAAGCAGCUUUUGCAGAUACACAGUAAGUUCAUUGCCUUCUUUAAGUUCAAAUUGCAGGGUUUCAAUAAAUUCCGAUUUAGCCAGGAGCUCAUUUUCCAGAAACUGCACUAUCUCUGUUUGUUUCCUCAACUCUUCUAGCUGUUCCUGUGCUUGAGCCAAAGUUGCUGUCACUAACUGUAACUCCGCCUCUUUCUCACAUAGAACUGCAGACUUCUCUUUCUCUGCUUCAAUAGCAGCCAGCUUUGAAUGAAGAAUAACUUCAUGGAACUCUGAGACAUGCUUUAGAAGCUCAUCAGUCUUGCCUUUUUCCAUGUUGGCAGCAUUUUCCAUCAGCUUUGCUUGUUUCAUAGCCUUGAAUUCAGAUUCUCUAGCAUUAGCAAGUUCUGUUUCCAUAUGAAAUAAUACUUCUUGGGUUGUCUUCAACUUGCUUAAAACAUGAUAAAGCUACAGAAUGGAAAAAAAAGUGUUAUAUAUCGUGAUUUUUCAAGUUUAGUUUUUAAUUUGGCGUACUAUCUGCUUUAUAGGUUUUGGGAUAUUGGAAAAUCUAAGCAUCAUGUUUUUUUCUUUUUCUCGCUGAAUAUUUAUUAGUUGUGUAGUUUUGAUUUUUGGAAGCAACAACGUUGAAUAUUUAUUAGUCAUGUGGUUUUGGAUUUUGAAAGUUAACUGGCUUGUGAUUAUUGCUGGAAUUUGGAAAUUAGGAUUCAAAACUUUGUUUUUCCUUCUCUUCCUCUAUAUUCUAAGCAAUCUAAUAGAGGAUUGGGGUUUAAUGGUAGUUUAGUCUGUAGUGGCAAUGGGAAUGAUUGUCAACCAAUUAGAUAUUUUUGACAAUAAUUGAAAAUUUUAAUUAAAAAAAUUCCUAACUAGUUUUUUCUUUUUCCCCUAAAUUUUAUCUCAGGGUUUGUGAAUUUUCUGUAUUUUGGUCAAUAAUGGAAUUUUUUUUCUGCAGUUUUUUAGAAUUGGUGGAGGUUCAGAUAGCAAAAUUGGGUUUUUUAGGGGAAACCGAAUUUUUUUCUUUCUUAUUUCUAUUCUUUAAUAUCACAAAUAACAAAACAAGAAAGAAUAGAAAUCUUAUUAUUUAACAGUACAAAAAAAAAAAGAUAACAUAGUAUAAUCCAACUCUAUAAAGGGGAGGAGGAAGUGAUAAAGGAGGCAGAGGAGCUGAACAAGCAAAUGGAUGCUCUCAUUGCUCUUCGGAUCAAGGUGGAGAAUCACUGGUGGGGUUUAGAGCAGCAGGAGGUGGUGGUUCUGGCCCAGCAGAGAGGUGGCUUGAUCAUCAGGACAAUGGCAGAAGGCCUAAAGGGAUAUUCUUAGGAACCAGAAACUCCAAUAUCAACUUCGAAGGGCAUUGUCUCCACUUCAACAUCCAACUCGUCAUUCAGCAAGGAGGAGCUGAGGAAAGCAGAGGAGCUAAUGACAAAGGCAUUUGUUGAAUUCCAUAAAAAACUCCGGGUUAUAAAAAGUUAUUGGUGACAUAGGUUUCUUCUUCUUCUUCUUUCUACAUAAUCUGAUGAGGUCUUCUUCUUCUUCUUCUUCUUUCUACAUAAUCUGAUGAAGCUAAACAUAUUUCUUGAGAAUUUACUAAUGUUAGUAGGAUCAAUUCUAUUCUCACACAUGCUCCAUAGCACUCAUAGUUGCCUUUUAUUGUUUGGAAUGGUUUCAGGGAUUAAAUGCUGUUGCUCAUGAUGCAUCUGCAAUUGAGGAAUACCCUUACGCAGAAGAACAAGGGCUUUGCUUUCAUAUGGUUUGCAAUUGUUGAGCACACAGGCAUGCAUGCUGUCAAUGAACUUAAGCAUCCAGUGGUAUUGAGAUUGUCCUCUUCUUUCUUUUCUUGAUUAUCUUCUUAGCAUUCUAUGUUUGGAGCUGGAGUUGACUUGGAGCCUAUAGCCUGAAGGCUAAUUUGUAGAGUCAGUCCUUGUGGUGAGCCUCAACACGUAAACCUUAAUAGCCUUUUAACAAAAAAAUAAACUAUGAGAACUAAUAAAGCAUUAAAAAGGCUCUAACUAAAAUAUGUAAUGCUAAAAUUAAAUUAUGGAAUAAUUUUCCUUUUUUCUUUCAGAAUAUUUUGUAGGGUGCUUUUCAUGUUGUUCUCCAUCAUUGGUUGUAUUUUCUGCAUGGCAUUCCCGACCCCUAUUUGCUUUGGAUAGUUAUUAGUUGCUAUGACAUGGAUCUUGCAAAAAGAGAACCAAUUGGUAUUGAAAUGAAUUACAGUUUUGUUGAAUCAGCAGCAUGCAGUUUUUACUUUUAACUAUUUAAUAUAGUUUUACUUUUUGUUGGUGUUGUAUUACUUCAUCCAUAUUUUUCAUUGAUUAGGCUAUUGAAUGACCAGCAUGCAGCUCCUACAAGUGACAUAGAGGUUCCCUCUAGUAAUCAUGCCUAUAAGGAGCAGUAGAAUGCUAUGAGGUGUAUCAUAACAGUUCAAAUAUAUCUAAAACAUUUGGUGGUGUCGCCCCUCCAACACUUCAAAUUGCAGCAAUGGCUCAAUAGCAGGCUUCAUACCCUACCUACCACCACCAGCAACAACAGCAUUUGAUGUAAUUUUCCCCCAACACUACUACUGCUCACCCUCAAACUAACAAUCCUUUUGGAAGCACUGGUCUACUGUAAUUUUCUGUUGAUUUCUCAUGUUUAUGUAUGAUGUAAAAUUAUUUUGGCAUUUGAAUUCAAAUAAAACUAUUUCCUUCUAGUUA
Molecule: long non-coding RNA, 3803 nt
Organism: Vitis riparia (riverbank grape)
Lineage: Eukaryota; Viridiplantae; Streptophyta; Magnoliopsida; Vitales; Vitaceae
Exons: 3
Source: RefSeq, a predicted model, not a curated record